GAGGAUAUAGCUGAGUGGUUACAGCAUUUGUCUAGCAUAUGAAAUACCCUGGGUUCAAUCCUUAGCACUCCCA
RNAcentral lists this transfer RNA (73 nucleotides) under Mesocricetus auratus (golden hamster). It matches the Rfam family "tRNA". Rfam says of the family: Transfer RNA (tRNA) molecules are approximately 80 nucleotides in length. Their secondary structure includes four short double-helical elements and three loops (D, anti-codon, and T loops). Further hydrogen bonds mediate the characteristic L-shaped molecular structure. tRNAs have two regions of fundamental functional importance: the anti-codon, which is responsible for specific mRNA codon recognition, and the 3' end, to which the tRNAs corresponding amino acid is attached (by aminoacyl-tRNA synthetases). tRNAs cope with the degeneracy of the genetic code in two manners: having more than one tRNA (with a specific anti-codon) for a particular amino acid; and 'wobble' base-pairing, i.e. permitting non-standard base-pairing at the 3rd anti-codon position. The record is from Rfam by way of RNAcentral. Lineage: Eukaryota; Metazoa; Chordata; Mammalia; Rodentia; Cricetidae.